GGAAAUGGCCAAGUAGUUACGAUCAUGGCGUCGUCUUUUCGACCCGAAAUAAGGAAAAUACGAUAUAACAAACCAACAUCAGUGGAUCGAGAUUGAUCGUAAAUACACGAGGAAGGUGGGCAUUUUUCAUUAAAUGGAAAGUACAGGAGGGAUAUUGACACAUUGACAGGGUCAUGGGCACUCAUCGGGAGGACAAUUUUUGUCACAUUCAAAACCACUUUUAUUUGUGAGAAUAAAUCAUUAUUAUUUA
Long non-coding RNA from Ostrea edulis (European flat oyster), 250 nucleotides. RefSeq lists it as uncharacterized. Lineage: Eukaryota; Metazoa; Mollusca; Bivalvia; Ostreida; Ostreidae. The record is from RefSeq and is a predicted model, not a curated record. The transcript has 2 exons.